RNAcentral lists this long non-coding RNA (1087 nucleotides) under Pomacea canaliculata. RNAcentral's name for it is "uncharacterized LOC112572799, transcript variant X2". The record is from RNAcentral. Lineage: Eukaryota; Metazoa; Mollusca; Gastropoda; Architaenioglossa; Ampullariidae.
AAGUCUAAAUAUCAGACGACAAAGUCGAGAGCAGCAUAAAUUUUCUGAGCGAACUAUUUAUAAGACUACUAAAUUUUUUAAGCAGCAGACAUUUCAAAUUUGUGAAGCUGUAUAUAAAGUUUUAAAGGAGCCAAAAAUCUUUAAGAAUUACAACAUAUGAGAAUGUCAUCAGAUAUUUGCCUGCCCAAUCAACAGCAGCUGUCCAGAAAUAUGUAAUGGAUUUAUCAGGAGAAGGAAGUGCGGUCGUCGAACUGUUGGGGUCGUGGAUCUAGGGUGUGUUCCAGAUAAUUAUGAACCCUACUACAGCAAGGACGAGCUGAAAGAGGCAGAGAAGAUCGACAGAGACUGCCUUCUCAACUGGGACGUCCUUCGUCAUGAAGUUUGACUCGAUGGGCGAUGGCGACACCCGUUUAUCUCCCCGGAUGGCGCUCUCCAAAGAUGGCGGCAGGUUGUUGAUGAAGGCGUCCGAGUAAUCCCCGACGCUUCGUUUAUCAUCUUUAUCGUUUGCAUCAACUUGUGUCGUCUAUCAGGCCGGUGAAGGCGCUGGUCGGAACGCCAGAGGGAUGAGAUGAUGAGUGCGGGGAAGGGUCUCAUCUGUGUCCUCCAUCCUCUACACCCAUUCCAUGUCAUGCGUAUUCUUUAUUAACCGCCGUCCCAGACCUCGAGAUGGCGCAGCGCCCUCACCCUCACCUCCACCACCACCACCGCCACCAACCUCCCAACUUGCUGGUUAUCUCAAUCGCCCAGACGUCGUCGGCAAGUGCCGUCCCCAUGUGACACCGUGACACCAUGUGACACCCGUGACAUCAUUAAAAUGCCGGGCUGCUGGCCAGGGAGGCUGCAGCUGCCAGUAGGUGUAUGUGCAGUCAGGCCGCCCUGGCGCUGUAUUUACACGCUGGCGUGCUGUCCAGGCCCACGUUUACAACCUUCACCGCUUGUUCUCGGAUCGCGAGGGGUUGAUGCUUAAAGAGGUGAACAGCAUUUUGUCACGUUUGGAGGGUGUUUAACCCAGACACUGGGACGUCUGCGAAGAAGAAAGAGAAGUAGGACGGAAAAAUACUAAUAAUAAAAUCACAGCAAGCGAAAG